This 780-nucleotide ribosomal RNA is filed under the name Pseudomonas fluorescens. RNAcentral's name for it is "bacterial SSU rRNA". It matches the Rfam family "Bacterial small subunit ribosomal RNA", at positions 37 to 812 of the family's 1533-position model. Lineage: Bacteria; Pseudomonadati; Pseudomonadota; Gammaproteobacteria; Pseudomonadales; Pseudomonadaceae. The record is from RNAcentral.
CAGUGGCGCGGUCUAACCAUGCAAGUCGAGCGGUAGAGAGAAGCUUGCUUCUCUUGAGAGCGGCGGACGGGUGAGUAAUGCCUAGGAAUCUGCCUGGUAGUGGGGGAUAACGUUCGGAAACGGACGCUAAUACCGCAUACGUCCUACGGGAGAAAGCAGGGGACCUUCGGGCCUUGCGCUAUCAGAUGAGCCUAGGUCGGAUUAGCUAGUUGGUGAGGUAAUGGCUCACCAAGGCGACGAUCCGUAACUGGUCUGAGAGGAUGAUCAGUCACACUGGAACUGAGACACGGUCCAGACUCCUACGGGAGGCAGCAGUGGGGAAUAUUGGACAAUGGGCGAAAGCCUGAUCCAGCCAUGCCGCGUGUGUGAAGAAGGUCUUCGGAUUGUAAAGCACUUUAAGUUGGGAGGAAGGGUUGUAGAUUAAUACUCUGCAAUUUUGACGUUACCGACAGAAUAAGCACCGGCUAACUCUGUGCCAGCAGCCGCGGUAAUACAGAGGGUGCAAGCGUUAAUCGGAAUUACUGGGCGUAAAGCGCGCGUAGGUGGUUUGUUAAGUUGGAUGUGAAAUCCCCGGGCUCAACCUGGGAACUGCAUUCAAAACUGACUGACUAGAGUAUGGUAGAGGGUGGUGGAAUUUCCUGUGUAGCGGUGAAAUGCGUAGAUAUAGGAAGGAACACCAGUGGCGAAGGCGACCACCUGGACUAAUACUGACACUGAGGUGCGAAAGCGUGGGGAGCAAACAGGAUUAGAUACCCUGGUAGUCCACGCCGUAAACGAUGU